AUUGGAAGGGGUGUAUUUAUUAGAUAAAAAACCAAUGCCCUUCGGGGCUCUUUGGUGAUUCAUAAUAACUUAACGGAUCGCAUGGCCUUGCGCCGGCGACGGUUCAUUCAAAUUUCUGCCCUAUCAACUUUCGAUGGUAAGGUAUUGGCUUACCAUGGUUUCAACGGGUAACGGGGAAUUAGGGUUCGAUUCCGGAGAGGGAGCCUGAGAAACGGCUACCACAUCCAAGGAAGGCAGCAGGCGCGCAAAUUACCCAAUCCCGACACGGGGAGGUAGUGACAAUAAAUACUGAUACAGGGCUCUUUUGGGUCUUGUAAUCGGAAUGAGUACAAUUUAAACCCCUUAACGAGGAACAAUUGGAGGGCAAGUCUGGUGCCAGCAGCCGCGGUAAUUCCAGCUCCAAUAGCGUAUAUUAAAGUUGUUGCAGUUAAAAAGCUCGUAGUUGAACCUUGGGCCUGGCUGGCCGGUCCGCCUCACCGCGUGUACUGGUCCGGCCGGGCCUUUCCUUCUGGAGAGCCCCAUGCCCUUCACUGGGCGUGCGGGGGAACCAGGACUUUUAC
Molecule: ribosomal RNA, 560 nt
Filed under: uncultured fungus
Lineage: Eukaryota; Fungi
Description: SSU rRNA
Rfam family: Eukaryotic small subunit ribosomal RNA
Source: RNAcentral